Molecule: ribosomal RNA, 482 nt
Filed under: Bacillus subtilis
Lineage: Bacteria; Bacillati; Bacillota; Bacilli; Caryophanales; Bacillaceae
Description: bacterial SSU rRNA
Rfam family: Bacterial small subunit ribosomal RNA
Source: RNAcentral
GCCUAAUACUGCAGUCGAGCGGACAGAUGGGAGCUUGCUCCCUGCAACUUAGCGGCGGACGGGUGAGUAACACGUGGGUAACCUGCCUGUAAGACUGGGAUAACUCCGGGAAACCGGGGCUAAUACCGGAUGGUUGUUUGAACCGCAUGGUUCAAACAUAAAAGGUGGCUUCGGCUACCACUUACAGAUGGACCCGCGGCGCAUUAGCUAGUUGGUGAGGUAACGGCUCACCAAGGCAACGAUGCGUAGCCGACCUGAGAGGGUGAUCGGCCACACUGGGACUGAGACACGGCCCAGACUCCUACGGGAGGCAGCAGUAGGGAAUCUUCCGCAAUGGACGAAAGUCUGACGGAGCAACGCCGCGUGAGUGAUGAAGGUUUUCGGAUCGUAAAGCUCUGUUGUUAGGGAAGAACAAGUACCGUUCGAAUAGGGCGGUACCUUGACGGUACCUAACCAGAAAGCCACGGCUAACUACGUGCCAG